GAUCCUGGCUCAGGAUGAACGCUAGCGGCAGGCUUAACACAUGCAAGUCGAGGGGCAGCAUAAUGGAUAGCAAUAUCUAUGGUGGCGACCGGCGCACGGGUGCGUAACGCGUAUGCAACCUACCUUUAACAAGGGGGAGUAACACUGAGAAAUUGGUACUAAUACCCCACUAACAUCAUGAAAGGCAUCUUUUAUGGUUGGAAAAUUACCGUACUGGUUUAGGUAGAUGGGCGAUGCGUUGUAUUAG
RNAcentral lists this ribosomal RNA (247 nucleotides) under uncultured bacterium. RNAcentral describes it as "partial 16S ribosomal RNA". It matches the Rfam family "Bacterial small subunit ribosomal RNA", at positions 15 to 244 of the family's 1533-position model. The record is from RNAcentral.